Small nuclear RNA from Panthera pardus (leopard), 94 nucleotides. The record is from Ensembl. NCBI's taxonomy places the organism in Eukaryota, Metazoa, Chordata, Mammalia, Carnivora, Felidae.
AUGCUGGCUUCGGCAGCACCUACACUAAAAUUGUAAAGAUAUGGAGAAGAUGAGCAGAGAAUAAAUGCAAAUUUGUGAAGCGUCCCACAUUUUU